Molecule: ribosomal RNA, 836 nt
Filed under: Candidatus Omnitrophota bacterium
Lineage: Bacteria; Pseudomonadati; Candidatus Omnitrophota
Description: bacterial SSU rRNA
Rfam family: Bacterial small subunit ribosomal RNA
Source: RNAcentral
AUUUUGGAGAGUUUGAUCCUGGCUCAGAGUGAACGCUGGCGGCGUGGAUUAGGCAUGCAAGUCGAGCGAAUCCGCAAGGAUUAGCGGCAAACGGGUGAGUAACACGUAAGUAAUCUUCCUUAAAGUCGGGCAAAGCGCCGUGAAAACGGCGGUAAUUUUCGAUGUGGAUAAAGAAUCGCAUGGUUUUUUAUCUAAAGAUGGGGACCUUCGGGCCUGUCGCUUUAAGAUGAGCUUGCGUCCUAUCAGCUUGUUGGUGGGGUAAUGGCCUACCAAGGCAUUUGACGGGUAGCUGGUCUGAGAGGAUGGUCAGCCACACUGGGACUGAGACACUGCCCAGACUCCUACGGGAGGCUGCAGUCGAGAAUCUUUCACAAUGGACGAAAGUCUGAUGAUGCGACGCCGCGUGCAGGAUGAAGGUCUUCGGAUUGUAAACUGCUUUUAUUAGGAAAGAAACCUAUACGGUUAAUAACCGUAUAGCUGACGGUACCUAAAGAAUAAGCCACGGCCAACUCCGUGCCAGCAGCCGCGGUAAUACGGAGGUGGCAAGCGUUACUCGGAAUUAUUGGGUGUAAAGGGCAAGUAGGCGGUCUAAUAAGCGAGGGGUGAAAUCUACCGGCUCAAUCGGUAAACUGCCUUUCGAACUAUUAGACUUGAGGCUGAAAGAGGGAAACGGAAUUAGCAGUGUAAGGGUGAAAUCUGUAGAUAUUGCUAAGAACACCAGCGGCGAAGGCGGUUUCCUGGUUCAGCUCUGACGCUAAAUUGCGAAAGCUAGGGUAGCAAACAGAAUUAGAUACUCUGGUAGUCCUAGCUGUAAACGAUGAGUACUAGGUGUUGGC